Molecule: transfer RNA, 87 nt
Filed under: Isachne nipponensis
Lineage: Eukaryota; Viridiplantae; Streptophyta; Magnoliopsida; Poales; Poaceae
Description: partial tRNA-His
Source: RNAcentral
AUAAAUAGAAUAAUGAUGAAUGGAAAAAAGAGAAAAUCUUUUAGCUGUAUAAGGGGCGGAUGUAGCCAAGUGGAUCAAGGCAGUGGA